UCCAGAUAUUAUAAUCCCAAC
Molecule: non-coding RNA, 21 nt
Filed under: Caenorhabditis elegans
Lineage: Eukaryota; Metazoa; Nematoda; Chromadorea; Rhabditida; Rhabditidae
Source: RNAcentral